GGGAAAACAGAAAGGGACACAGCGAUGAGGAAAGCCAGGAGUCAGAUUACCAGAAUAUAGAGAAGUCAAUAAACAAAGCCAAAGUCAAAAACCAGGUAGAAAACUAUAAACAGGAACGUGCUCUCAGACAACCACAAGGGAAACCACGACAGGGCACUGAGCAGGCUGAGAACUGGGCCUAAAUACCCCUCCUUUAGUUCUGAUAGGCUG
Non-coding RNA from Pelobates cultripes (western spadefoot toad), 210 nucleotides. NCBI's taxonomy places the organism in Eukaryota, Metazoa, Chordata, Amphibia, Anura, Pelobatidae. The record is from the annotation of a GenBank genome assembly.